AGUGAACGCUGGCGGCGUGCUUAACACAUGCAAGUCGAACGAGAACGGAAUAUAGCUUGCUAUAUUUGUCAGCUAAGUGGCGCACGGGUGAGUAAGGUAUAGAUAACCUGCCCUUAAGAAAGGAAUAACAGUCGGAAACGACUGCUAAUGCCCUAUAUGCCUUUAAUACAUAAGUAUGCAAGGGAAACGCUUUAGUGCUUAAGGAUGGGUCUGUAUGGUAUCAGCUUGUUGGUGAGGUAAUGGCUCACCAAGGCUAUGACGCCUAACUGGUUUGAGAGGAUGAUCAGUCACACUGGAACUGAGACACGGUCCAGACUCCUACGGGAGGCAGCAGUGGGGAAUAUUGCACAAUGGACGAAAGUCUGAUGCAGCAACGCCGCGUGGAGGAUGACACAUUUCGGUGCGUAAACUCCUUUUAUAUAGGAAGAUAAUGACGGUACUAUAUGAAUAAGCACCGGCUAACUCUGUGCCAGCAGCCGCAGUAA
This 485-nucleotide ribosomal RNA is filed under the name uncultured bacterium. RNAcentral describes it as "partial 16S ribosomal RNA". It matches the Rfam family "Bacterial small subunit ribosomal RNA", at positions 29 to 523 of the family's 1533-position model. The record is from RNAcentral.